Molecule: long non-coding RNA, 1425 nt
Organism: Felis catus (domestic cat)
Lineage: Eukaryota; Metazoa; Chordata; Mammalia; Carnivora; Felidae
Exons: 3
Source: RefSeq, a predicted model, not a curated record
AAAAAAGAAGACCGGUGUGUACCAUAUUUUAUACACAACAUGGAGAACAGCUGUCCAAAAACGAUAACACCAAGUUAAAAUGUGAACAAAUAGCAUAUAAUGAACACUCAGAGUUCUCAUAAAUACCACAUUUGGUUCUGUGACACUGAGAAGAAGGCCCAGCCUAAAAUUUUAGGCCAUCAAUAAAUCUCCCUUCUACAAAUUCUUACAUUAAGGACAGACAGAAACGCACACGGGCCACUUGGUGAAGAAUGGCUUCAAUAGAAGACUUUAAAAGAGGUGGUCAAUUGGGCUUAUCAUACAAUCUCAGUCACCUUCUGACCAAUAGAAUGUACCAAUAAACAUCUGCAAAUAAAAUUCAUUAGGUCCUCCUGCAGCCUUCAGCAGCUCAUUUCAUGACGACUCCAUCCUUCCAGGUGCUCAGGCUGAACCCAGAGGCAACGCUGCCUGUCUCUUCCUCUCAAGUUCCACAGCCUAAUAUCCAAGAUGCCCAGCUCUACCUUCGAAUAAGCUCUUCCCUGAAUCCAACUCCACACCACCGCCACUCCCACCAUCCUCCUGGUCAAAGCCACUUUCACCUCUUGCCUGAACCACCAUGGAAUCUCCUGCCGGUCUCCCUGCUUCUGCCCAUGGCGCUCUUCAGUCUAUUCUCAAUACAGCAGCCAGAAUAAUCUUACUAAAUCCUGAGCAGACCAUGUCGUGUCUCUUCUCAAAACUCUCCAGCGGUCCCCACUUCACUCCAAGGAAAGCCAAAGACCUCCAAUGGCCAACAGAGCCCUCCAGACCUUCUCUCUUGCACUGGGUACUCCCCCAGAAUGUGCAGGACUUCUCUGUGAAGCUGUCCCUUGCCACCCUGGCUAAACCUGCCACCUCUCUUUCCCAUACACAUACUCCUGACCCCUUUCCCUGCCUCAUUUUUUCUUCUUAGCACCUAUAACCUACUAUGUUUUACCUAUUUAUCUUGUUUAUUAUUUGUUCUCUCACUAGAAUUUAAGUCAAGUGAAGGCAGGGACUGUUACCUAUCUCGUUCACUGUUAUAUACUGAAAAUUUGGACCAGGGACAGGCAAACAUUUUCUAUAAAGAACUAGAUCAUAAUUAUGGCUAGAAACAGAUAGAAUAGGAAUAAAGAAAUAGAUAUUUUAGGCUUUGCAGGUCAUACAGUCUCUGUUGCAACUACUUGACUCCACUGUUGUAGUCCACAGACAAUAUACAAAUGAAUGAGCAUAGGCUCAUUCCAAUAAAACUUUAUUUACAAAAACAGACAGUAGGCUGGAUGUGACCUACAGGUCACAGUUUGCCAACCCCUAGUCUGGAACAUUACCUAGAGUGUAGUAAGCACUCAAAAAUAUUUGUUAAAUUGUCAAAGUGUUAAAAUACUACCUCUGGCCAGAGCAAACCUAGAAUAGUAGGUCUAGUUCUAGAAG